GGCGCUGUAGCUCAAGUGGUAGAGUGCUUGCCUUGCAUGCAUGAGGCCCUGGGUUUGAUUCCUCAGCACCA
RNAcentral lists this transfer RNA (71 nucleotides) under Dipodomys ordii (Ord's kangaroo rat). It matches the Rfam family "tRNA". Rfam says of the family: Transfer RNA (tRNA) molecules are approximately 80 nucleotides in length. The record is from Rfam by way of RNAcentral. Lineage: Eukaryota; Metazoa; Chordata; Mammalia; Rodentia; Heteromyidae.